This 690-nucleotide ribosomal RNA is filed under the name Shigella flexneri. Its description in RNAcentral is "bacterial SSU rRNA". It matches the Rfam family "Bacterial small subunit ribosomal RNA", at positions 53 to 732 of the family's 1533-position model. The record is from RNAcentral. Lineage: Bacteria; Pseudomonadati; Pseudomonadota; Gammaproteobacteria; Enterobacterales; Enterobacteriaceae.
ACAUGCAAGUCGAACGGUAACAGGAAGCAGCUUGCUGCUUCGCUGACGAGUGGCGGACGGGUGAGUAAUGUCUGGGAAACUGCCUGAUGGAGGGGGAUAACUACUGGAAACGGUAGCUAAUACCGCAUAACGUCGCAAGACCAAAGAGGGGGACCUUCGGGCCUCUUGCCAUCGGAUGUGCCCAGAUGGGAUUAGCUAGUAGGUGGGGUAACGGCUCACCUAGGCGACGAUCCCUAGCUGGUCUGAGAGGAUGACCAGCCACACUGGAACUGAGACACGGUCCAGACUCCUACGGGAGGCAGCAGUGGGGAAUAUUGCACAAUGGGCGCAAGCCUGAUGCAGCCAUGCCGCGUGUAUGAAGAAGGCCUUCGGGUUGUAAAGUACUUUCAGCGGGGAGGAAGGGAGUAAAGUUAAUACCUUUGCUCAUUGACGUUACCCGCAGAAGAAGCACCGGCUAACUCCGUGCCACCAGCCGCGGUAAUACGGAGGGUGCAAGCGUUAAUCGGAAUUACUGGGCGUAAAGCGCACGCAGGCGGUUUGUUAAGUCAGAUGUGAAAUCCCCGGGCUCAACCUGGGAACUGCAUCUGAUACUGGCAAGCUUGAGUCUCGUAGAGGGGGGUAGAAUUCCAGGUGUAGCGGUGAAAUGCGUAGAGAUCUGGAGGAAUACCGGUGGCGAAGGCGGCCCCCUGG